RNAcentral lists this ribosomal RNA (425 nucleotides) under uncultured bacterium. RNAcentral describes it as "partial 16S ribosomal RNA". It matches the Rfam family "Bacterial small subunit ribosomal RNA", at positions 354 to 796 of the family's 1533-position model. The record is from RNAcentral.
GUGGGGAAUCUUAGACAAUGGGGGAAACCCUGAUCUAGUCAUGCCGCGUGAGCGAUGAAGGCCUUAGGGUUGUAAAGCUCUUUCAGCUGGGAAGAUAAUGACUGUACCAGCAGAAGAAGCCCCGGCUAACUCCGUGCCAGCAGCCGCGGUAAUACGGAGGGGGCUAGCGUUGUUCGGAAUUACUGGGCGUAAAGCGCACGUAGGCGGACCGGAAAGUCAGAGGUGAAAUCCCAGGGCUCAACCUUGGAACUGCCUUUGAAACUCCUGGUCUUGAGGUCGAGAGAGGUGAGUGGAAUUCCGAGUGUAGAGGUGAAAUUCGUAGAUAUUCGGAGGAACACCAGUGGCGAAGGCGGCUCACUGGCUCGAUACUGACGCUGAGGUGCGAAAGCGUGGGGAGCAAACAGGAUUAGAUACCCUAGUAGUCC